This 72-nucleotide transfer RNA is filed under the name Patescibacteria group bacterium. Its description in RNAcentral is "tRNA-His". It matches the Rfam family "tRNA". From Rfam's summary of the family: Transfer RNA (tRNA) molecules are approximately 80 nucleotides in length. Their secondary structure includes four short double-helical elements and three loops (D, anti-codon, and T loops). Further hydrogen bonds mediate the characteristic L-shaped molecular structure. tRNAs have two regions of fundamental functional importance: the anti-codon, which is responsible for specific mRNA codon recognition, and the 3' end, to which the tRNAs corresponding amino acid is attached (by aminoacyl-tRNA synthetases). tRNAs cope with the degeneracy of the genetic code in two manners: having more than one tRNA (with a specific anti-codon) for a particular amino acid; and 'wobble' base-pairing, i.e. permitting non-standard base-pairing at the 3rd anti-codon position. The record is from RNAcentral.
GCGGCCGUAGCUCAAUGGCAGAGUUCCUGGUUGUGGUCCAGGCGGUUGUGGGUUCGAUCCCCACCGGUCGCC